ACUCAAAGGAAUUGACGGGGGCCCGCACAAGCAGCGGAGCAUGUGGUUUAAUUCGACGCAACGCGAAGAACCUUACCUGGGCUUGACAUGUUGGUGACCGCCGUGGAAACACGGUUUUCCUUCGGGACACCAUCACAGGUGGUGCAUGGCUGUCGUCAGCUCGUGUCGUGAGAUGUUGGGUUAAGUCCCGCAACGAGCGCAACCCCCGUCCUAUGUUGCCAGCAUUAAGUUGGGGACUCAUAGGAGACUGCCGGUGACAAACCGGAGGAAGGUGGGGAUGACGUCAAGUCAUCAUGCCCCUUAUGUCCAGGGCUACACACGUGCUACAUUGGCGCAUACAAAGGGCAGCAAUACCGCGAGGUGGAGCAAAUCCCAUAAAGUGCGCCUCGGUUCGGAUUGGAGGCUGAAACUCGCCUCCAUGAAGGUGGAGUUGCUAGUAAUCGCAGAUCAGCAAUGCUGCGGUGAAUACGUUCCCGGGCCUUGUACACACCGCCCGU
This 497-nucleotide ribosomal RNA is filed under the name uncultured bacterium. RNAcentral describes it as "bacterial SSU rRNA". It matches the Rfam family "Bacterial small subunit ribosomal RNA", at positions 899 to 1397 of the family's 1533-position model. The record is from RNAcentral.